This 27-nucleotide ribosomal RNA is filed under the name Umbelopsis isabellina. RNAcentral's name for it is "partial 28S ribosomal RNA". Lineage: Eukaryota; Fungi; Mucoromycota; Umbelopsidomycetes; Umbelopsidales; Umbelopsidaceae. The record is from RNAcentral.
CUGAAAUCAGGUAGGGCUACCCGCUGA